AAUUUUGGACAAUGGGCGCAAGCCUGAUCCAGCAAUGCCGCGUGCAGGAUGAAGGCCUUCGGGUUGUACACUGCUUUUGUACGGAACGAAAAGCCCUGGGUUAAUACCCUGGGGUCAUGACGGUACCGUAAGAAUAGGCACCGGCUACCUACGUGCCAGCAGCCGCGGUAAUACGAAGGGUGCGAGCUUUAACCGGAAUUAAGGGGCGUAAAGCGUGCGCAGGCGGUUUUGUAAGACAGAGGUGAAAUCCCCGGGCUCAACCUGGGAACUGCCUUUGUGACUGCAAGGCUAGAGUACGGCAGAGGGGGAUGGAAUUCCGCGUGUAGCAGUGAAAUGCGUAGAUAUGCGGAGGAACACCGAUGGCGAAGGCAAUCCCCUGGGCCUGUACUGACGCUCAUGCACGAAAGCGUGGGGAGCAAACAGG
This 424-nucleotide ribosomal RNA is filed under the name uncultured bacterium. RNAcentral describes it as "partial 16S ribosomal RNA". It matches the Rfam family "Bacterial small subunit ribosomal RNA", at positions 360 to 776 of the family's 1533-position model. The record is from RNAcentral.